This is a long non-coding RNA of Gossypium raimondii (Peruvian cotton), 551 nucleotides long. RefSeq lists it as uncharacterized. The transcript has 3 exons. Lineage: Eukaryota; Viridiplantae; Streptophyta; Magnoliopsida; Malvales; Malvaceae. The record is from RefSeq and is a predicted model, not a curated record.
AAAUGUCUUACCCUUUCUAAUUCGGUAAGACAUUUUCAGGAAAAUUAGAAGGAACACAAAUCUUCCCUUCCCCUUCCUCUUUCUCUUCCCCUUCCCCCAUCCUUGAUCGGUUGUUCCAAGAGAGGCUACACCGUAAUCGAUUGUUCCCGCUCCCAAGAAAAACUCAAUUCCCUCCAAUCGGAGCUCCCGUCGCCUGAGCGUCACCUCCUCCUCAAUGUCGAUGCAAGGUCAGAUAACAGCGUUAAGGAGCUAGCUCGAGUGAUGAUGGAAAAGAAGUUUGUACCUGACAUAAUCGCUGAAGAUGCAUAUGUUUUUCUGGUUAACUAGUUUGAAAGGUUUCCACAAUACAAGCAUAGAGAUUUCUACAUUGCUGGUGAAAGUUAUGCAGGUCAUUUUUUUACUUUAGUAACUUUUUUUCUUUUUUACUGCAAUAUUUUACUUUGCAUAGGGAUUUUUGGUGAGAAUGUCUAUGAUUCUUUCUUUUUCUUGAAGCAUCUGUGUCCGACACUAGAUUCCUACGCAUUCCCGGACAUGAUUGCAACUUCAAUUGU